UACAGAGGGUGCAAGCGUUAAUCGGAAUUACUGGGCGUAAAGCGAGCGUAGGUGGCUUGAUAAGUCAGAUGUGAAAUCCCCGGGCUUAACCUGGGAACUGCAUCUGAUACUGUCAGGCUAGAAUAGGUGAGAGGAAGGUAGAAUUCCAGGUGUAGCGGUGAAAUGCGUAGAGAUCUGGAGGAAUACCGAUGGCGAAGGCAGCCUUCUGGCAUCAUAUUGACACUGAGGUUCGAAAGCGUGGGUAG
RNAcentral lists this ribosomal RNA (245 nucleotides) under uncultured Psychrobacter sp. RNAcentral describes it as "partial 16S ribosomal RNA". It matches the Rfam family "Bacterial small subunit ribosomal RNA", at positions 524 to 768 of the family's 1533-position model. The record is from RNAcentral. Lineage: Bacteria; Pseudomonadati; Pseudomonadota; Gammaproteobacteria; Moraxellales; Moraxellaceae.